UACGUAGGCGGAAUGAUAAGUUAGUGGUGAAAUCCUCCGGCUUAACCAGGGAACUGCCAUUAAUACUGUCAUUCUUGAGUAUAGUUGAAGUGGGCGGAAUGUAUCAUGUAGCGGUGAAAUGCUUAGAUAUGAUACAGAACACCGAUAGCGUAGGCAGCUUGCUAAACUAUAACUGACGCUCAGGCACGAAAGCGUGGGGAGCAAACAGGAUUAGAUACCCUGGUAGUCC
Molecule: ribosomal RNA, 229 nt
Filed under: uncultured bacterium
Lineage: Bacteria
Description: partial 16S ribosomal RNA
Rfam family: Bacterial small subunit ribosomal RNA
Source: RNAcentral